UGGCUGUCGUCAGCUCGUGUCGUGAGAUGUUGGGUUAAGUCCCGCAACGAGCGCAACCCUUAUCUUUAAUUGCCAUCAUUCAGUUGGGCACUUUAGAGAGACUGCCGGUGUUAAACCGGAGGAAGGUGGGAUGACGUCAAGUCCUCAUGGCCUUUAUGCUUAGGGCUACACACGUGCUACAAUGGGUAGUACAAAGAGAAGCCAACUCGCGAGAGUGCGCAAAUCUCAAAAAGCUAUCCUAAGUUCGGAUUGAAGUCUGACAACUCGACUUCAUGAAGCUGGAAUCGCUAGUAAUCGCGGAUCAGCAUGCCGCGGUCGAAUACGUUCCCGGGCCUU
This 336-nucleotide ribosomal RNA is filed under the name uncultured Smithella sp. Its description in RNAcentral is "bacterial SSU rRNA". It matches the Rfam family "Bacterial small subunit ribosomal RNA", at positions 1046 to 1382 of the family's 1533-position model. Lineage: Bacteria; Pseudomonadati; Thermodesulfobacteriota; Syntrophia; Syntrophales; Smithellaceae. The record is from RNAcentral.